Olea europaea var. sylvestris is the source of this 428-nucleotide long non-coding RNA. RefSeq lists it as uncharacterized. NCBI's taxonomy places the organism in Eukaryota, Viridiplantae, Streptophyta, Magnoliopsida, Lamiales, Oleaceae. The record is from RefSeq and is a predicted model, not a curated record. The transcript has 3 exons.
UUUUCCGAAUUCUUGAUCUGGAAAACGAAAUGGAGGGUGGUGAAGAAAAAACAGUGAAAAUGAAGUUUUAGGCCGAUCGGACCUUCAAUUUGGAGCCUAAUAAGGUGGUUUCUUCUCCAGUGACACGGCAGAAGGCCGCAGCCGCGAAACAGUUCAUUGAGAAUCAUUACAAGAACUAUCAUCAAGGUUUACAAGAUCGCAAAGAAAGGCGGUGGGCGUUGCAGAGGAGGGCGAAAGAGGAGCAGGUAUCAAAUGAGGAGCAAGAGAGAAUGCUGAGGAAUUUGGAGAGGAGAGACAGAAUAUAUGAGAUUGCAGAGGCAUAAAGUUGGGGUUGAUGAUUUUGAGCAGUUGACUAUCAUUGGUAAAGGAGCUUUUGGUGAGGUUAGGUUAUGUCGUGCUAAAGGUACAGGAGAAAUAUUUGCCAUGAA